GGCCUUCUCAGGGAGAGGGAGAGUCCAGAAGCAUUUUCCUAAUCGAGAAAUUGCACCUCCAUGCAUAAGAAAAUUAUAACAUGAGCAAACUCUGUAUAUGCCAGUCAAACACCACUUCCAAUGCCAGAGAUACGAUUUUGAGUUGAGCUUUGUGGACUGUUAAAGGGUCGAGAGGCACGAUAGCUCUCUGGCUACCUGGGAACUCAAGGGG
This 211-nucleotide long non-coding RNA is filed under the name Elaeis guineensis (African oil palm). RNAcentral's name for it is "long non-coding RNA (EGUI_LNC041410)". Lineage: Eukaryota; Viridiplantae; Streptophyta; Magnoliopsida; Arecales; Arecaceae. The record is from RNAcentral.